This 1456-nucleotide long non-coding RNA is filed under the name Nothobranchius furzeri (turquoise killifish). RNAcentral's name for it is "lncRNA (ENSNFUG00015011851.1)". Lineage: Eukaryota; Metazoa; Chordata; Actinopteri; Cyprinodontiformes; Nothobranchiidae. The record is from RNAcentral.
AUGCCCUCAGAGCUGCGCUCGCUUUAUCAAUUGUCCAAGCGCUUUUUGCUUGUUUGUUUUUGCAAGCGGAAUUACUGCUCCUUGCGGAAGACCACAGACGAAGGUCGCACACGUGAUGUCAGCAUUUUUUUGUCGCGGAAAGUGACGUUGCGGACCUUAAAACUCCGGUUUUGUCUGUCCACACGCAGACACCCAAAACGGAGAAAACGCAGAUCUUCAUUUUGGCCGGAGUUUUUAAAAAGAUCCGUUUUCGUGUGGAUGACAGGCCAAAAUGUAGAAAAAUAUCUACGUUUUGGCAGAUCCCCGGCUACGUGUGGACAGGGCCUUAGUUUAGAUGAGACCAUGGUCUUCAGCUGGAAGGUCUUCUCCAGGUCAAGGAGGAGGUCCUGCCUCAAGGAGUUUCUUAGGGUCUUGAUCACAAAUGAUGGAAAGAUGGCGCGCAAGAUUAACAGGCGGAUUGGUGCUGCGUCUACAGUUUGGGAGGAGCCAUUCGAGGUGGCUCGGGGACACUUCCUGGAAGACCUCCUGGUGAGGUUUUCCAACCAGGAGUUGACCCAAAGGAAGACUCAGGACUCGCAAGGGAAGUCGCUUCCAGUUUGAACGAGAAUGACAAAAUAUAAACACACAUGAAAAGCGAUUAAAGGUGCAAAAGCAAAUCUACGAAAAACAAAAUUUUUCAGACAAACUUGAGAGAACCACUUAAUGAAUUUAUUUUACCUUAAAUAGUUCCCAAGCACAACCACUGCUGCAGCUCCCCAUUCCCCACGGGGAUGGGUCAAAUGUGGAGAUGUCAUUUCACCUGUGUGGGAUGACUAAUGGGACUUUACAGAACAAGCUAGCUGUUAAUCGCAAACAUGGUCACAGAACGCUCACCUCUCCUGCCAGGUAUCAUCCCUGGGCCGUGUCCGCCUGAUGUGGAAAACCUGUGAUGCCAGAGGAAACGAGAUAGCUAAACAUCAGUGGCCGUUUUCUAGGUCCAAACGUCUUUUGUUGUCCGUGACUUCAAAUGGUGUUUUUAUUUAUUUAUUUUUUUGGGACUCUGGUAGUUUGUCCUGAAGCUAAAGUGGUAGCAGCCAGCUGUUUCUCCUCUGAUAUUAUUGAGGAGAACCUCUCACACCAGUCGUGUUCUGUUGCUGGAGGAGGUUUGCUAUGGCGCGGUAUGGGGGCCAAAAUUAAGACUACUGCCCAGCAGCAGGAGGCUAUAUAAAUUCCGAAGCAAACUACUGACCUGAUUAACGAUAAGCUGGCGCCAGUAACUGAGAGGCUGGCGCUGCUUAUUGAGAAAUAGCACCUUUACCAGCAUUACUACUAGAUACGCUAGGGACUAGCAGCCCUCGGCUGGUCAUUAACUGGUUCACACACUUCCUCUGCUGUCUAUUAGCAUGGAUAGGCUAGCGUUAGCCUGGACGGGCUGGUGUUAGCAUUGGAGAGGCUAGCCAUUAGUGUGCCUAGGCUG